UGAUGACACAUGGAGUGAGAAAAUCGAGUGGUGUUGGUGAUGCCCCAGUUCCUUCGACCCACUUCGUUGGAUUCCCAUUUCACCCGAUUCAUUUCACCUGCUAUAGGGUUUUCUCAUUUCAUACUCCAAACGACCAGCGAUCCCCAUCUUCCUACGACCUAGACCAGAGACGGCGAUAGGGUUCGUGUGACCGCGACAGAGCAGCAAAGAUUUCUUAACCAAGUAUAUCAGCGACAACAGAACCUCCUACGAGAGACCAGAGACUCUUUGUAUGGGAAACAUCGACCAGCGACGACGGUCGAGCAACCUCGACGGACCAGCGACCAAAACUUCUUGCAGCUUGUUGUAAGUAGGAAAAAAAAAAAAAACA
Long non-coding RNA from Macadamia integrifolia, 370 nucleotides. RefSeq lists it as uncharacterized. The record is from RefSeq and is a predicted model, not a curated record. The transcript has 2 exons. Lineage: Eukaryota; Viridiplantae; Streptophyta; Magnoliopsida; Proteales; Proteaceae.